AGAGUUUGAUCAUGGCUCAGAUUGAACGCUUGCGGCAUGCCUUACACAUGCAAGUCGAACGGCAGCACGGGUGCUUGCACCUGGUGGCGAGUGGCGAACGGGUGAGUAAUACAUCGGAACGUACCUUAUCGUGGGGGAUAACGCAGCGAAAGUUGCGCUAAUACCGCAUACGCCCUGAGGGGGAAAGCGGGGGACCGUAAGGCCUCGCGCGAUUAGAGCGGCCGAUGUCUGAUUAGCUUGUUGGUGAGGUAAAAGCUCACCAAGGCGAUGAUCAGUAGCUGGUCUGAGAGGACGAUCAGCCACACUGGGACUGAGACACGGCCCAGACUCCUACGGGAGGCAGCAGUGGGGAAUUUUGGACAAUGGGGGCAACCCUGAUCCAGCAAUGCCGCGUGAGUGAAGAAGGCCUUCGGGUUGUAAAGCUCUUUUGUCAGGGAAGAAACAGCAGCUCUAACACAGUCUGCGAAUGACGGUACCUGAAGAAUAAGCACCGGCUAACUACGUGCCAGCAGCCGCGGUAAUACGUAGGGUGCGAGCGUUAAUCGGAAUUACUGGGCGUAAAGCGUGCGCAGGCGGUUAUACAAGACAGGCGUGAAAUCCCCGGGCUUAACCUGGGAAUGGCGUCUGUGACUGUAUAGCUAGAGUGUGUCAGAGGGGGGUGGAAUUCCACGUGUAGCAGUGAAAUGCGUAGAUAUGUGGAGGAACACCAAUGGCGAAGGCAGCCCCCUGGGAUAACACUGACGCUCAUGCACGAAAGCGUGGGGAGCAAACAGG
RNAcentral lists this ribosomal RNA (774 nucleotides) under uncultured Polynucleobacter sp. RNAcentral describes it as "bacterial SSU rRNA". It matches the Rfam family "Bacterial small subunit ribosomal RNA", at positions 8 to 776 of the family's 1533-position model. The record is from RNAcentral. Lineage: Bacteria; Pseudomonadati; Pseudomonadota; Betaproteobacteria; Burkholderiales; Burkholderiaceae.